RNAcentral lists this ribosomal RNA (492 nucleotides) under uncultured bacterium. Its description in RNAcentral is "partial 16S ribosomal RNA". It matches the Rfam family "Bacterial small subunit ribosomal RNA", at positions 29 to 507 of the family's 1533-position model. The record is from RNAcentral.
AGUGAACGCUGGCGGUAGACCUAACACAUGCAAGUCGAACGGCAGCACAGUAAGAGCUUGCUCUUACGGGUGGCGAGUGGCGGACGGGUGAGGAAUACAUCGGAAUCUACUUUUUCGUGGGGGAUAACGUAGGGAAACUUACGCUAAUACCGCAUACGACCUACGGGUGAAAGCAGGGGAUCUUCGGACCUUGCGCGAUUGAAUGAGCCGAUGUCGGAUUAGCUAGUUGGCGGGGUAAAGGCCCACCAAGGCGACGAUCCGUAGCUGGUCUGAGAGGAUGAUCAGCCACACUGGAACUGAGACACGGUCCAGACUCCUACGGGAGGCAGCAGUGGGGAAUAUUGGACAAUGGGCGCAAGCCUGAUCCAGCCAUACCGCGCGGGUGAAGAAGGCCUUCGGGUUGUAAAGCCCUUUUGUUGGGAAAGAAAAGCAGCAGGUUAAUACCCCGCUGUUCUGACGGUACCCAAAGAAUAAGCACCGGCUAACUUCGUG